This 468-nucleotide ribosomal RNA is filed under the name uncultured bacterium. RNAcentral describes it as "partial 16S ribosomal RNA". It matches the Rfam family "Bacterial small subunit ribosomal RNA", at positions 28 to 507 of the family's 1533-position model. The record is from RNAcentral.
GACGAACGCUGGCGGCGUGCUUAACACAUGCAAGUCGAACGGAAAGGCCCUGCUUUUGUGGGGUGCUCGAGUGGCGAACGGGUGAGUAACACGUGAGUAACCUGCCCUUGACUUUGGGAUAACUUCAGGAAACUGGGGCUAAUACCGGAUAGGAGCUCCUGCUGCAUGGUGGGGGUUGGAAAGUUUCGGCGGUUGGGGAUGGACUCGCGGCUUAUCAGCUUGUUGGUGGGGUAGUGGCUUACCAAGGCUUUGACGGGUAGCCGGCCUGAGAGGGUGACCGGCCACAUUGGGACUGAGAUACGGCCCAGACUCCUACGGGAGGCAGCAGUGGGGAAUAUUGCACAAUGGGCAGAAGCCUGAUGCAGCAACGCCGCGUGCGGGAUGACGGCCUUCGGGUUGUAAACCGCUUUCGCCUGUGACGAAGCGUGAGUGACGGUAAUGGGUAAGGAAGCACCGGCUAACUACGUG